This 253-nucleotide ribosomal RNA is filed under the name uncultured prokaryote. RNAcentral's name for it is "partial 16S ribosomal RNA". It matches the Rfam family "Bacterial small subunit ribosomal RNA", at positions 524 to 776 of the family's 1533-position model. The record is from RNAcentral.
UACGGGGGGUGCAAGCGUUGUUCGGAAUCAUUGGGCGUAAAGAGCGUGUAGGCGGCUGGAUAAGUCAGAUGUGAAAGCCCUGGGCUUAACCCAGGAAGUGCAUUUGAAACUAUUCAGCUGGAGUAAGGGAGAGGAAAGUGGAAUUCCUGGUGUAGAGGUGAAAUGCGUAGAUAUCAGGAGGAACACCGGCGGCGAAGGCGGCUUUCUGGCCCUAUACUGACGCUGAGACGCGAGAGCGUGGGUAGCAAACAGG